UCUGCGGGGAAGCCUAGCAGCUCUUUCCUCAGUUGCAGGGAUGUUUCAGGCAACCCUCCAUCACUAGAAAACACCAGAUGGGAUGGAUAGAGGCAAUUUUGCAGAAAGUGCUGCGAGAUUGGCUUGCUCAAUGGUCUUUCCAGCUGGAAGCAGAGCGGCCAGAAAGCACUGCGUUCUCAGCCCAGUUUCAUCGCCUCAAGAACUACAGAUGGCUUCCCCGAGCACCUGAAGUCUGUGCUGCUUUCCUGGACAGAAUACGCUGCAAGCUGCGGAAACUCUUUUGUCUUUUCAUAGUGCAACUCAGACCCCAGUUUCUUUCUGCCUUGAGAGUGAGAGUAGAGGACGCAGAGUAGAAAGAGCCAGAAGGUGGGGAAAUGAAUGCUUAACAUUUGAAACUCCCUGGGACUGACCAGCUGCUCAAAAAGCUCCCAGAUAGAGAUGACCACGGAUGGAGAAGAUCAGGGCAGUGCAGUAUGGUGCAAGAAGCUUCAGCUCUGGGGCCAGUCAUACGGGGUUUGAAUCCAAUUCUGGCACCUGUUUGUUAGUGGAGCAGCUUCAGGCACCUCCGUCGCCGCUAUGACGUUGAAGGAACAAAUCAAGGACAUAAGACUGAGAGAUACAAUGUGGCCGAUUUCAUACAGAAACGCUGCUGAACUUCAUCACCUGUUUUGUCGUGGUUCAAGUAAGGGCUGAAAUAAUAGUAGAAAAACGCGUAAAUGAGUAAAUUCAACUGAGGAAAGAAAGGUGGCGACGUAAAGCAGUAUAUUUACAUAUGAAGAUUGGUCAGGGAUACACUCAUCUAUUCAUCCAGCCAUUCACCUACUCACCCUUCCAUCCAUCUGUUAAUUCUUUUUUUGUUUUCAAAAAUGUUUUCUUGGGACUUCCCUGUUGGCGCAGUGGUUAGGAGUCUGCCUGCCGACGCAGGGGACGUGGGUUCAAACCCUGGUCGGGGAAGAUCCCACAUGCUGCGGAGCAACUAAGCCCGUGCACCACAACUACUGAGGCUGCGCUCUAGAGCCCAUGAGCCACAACUGCUGAGCCUGCGUGCUACAACUACCGAAGCCUGUGCGCCUAGAGCCCGUGCUCUGCAACAAGAGAAGCCACCGCAAUGAGAAGCCUGCGCACCGCAACGAAGAGUAGCCCUCGCUCACCACAAUUAGAGAAAAGCCCGCGGGCAGCAACGAGACCCAAUGCAGCCGAAAAUAAAU
Molecule: long non-coding RNA, 1208 nt
Organism: Physeter macrocephalus (sperm whale)
Lineage: Eukaryota; Metazoa; Chordata; Mammalia; Artiodactyla; Physeteridae
Exons: 3
Source: RefSeq, a predicted model, not a curated record